AUACGUAUGGAGCAAGCGUUAUCCGGAUUUACUGGGUGUAAAGGGAGCGUAGACGGCAUAGCAAGUCUGAAGUGAAAUCCCAUGGCUUAACCAUGGAACUGCUUUGGAAACUGCCAGGCUAGAGUGCAGGAGAGGUAAGCGGAAUUCCUAGUGUAGCGGUGAAAUGCGUAGAUAUUAGGAGGAACACCAGUGGCGAAGGCGGCUUACUGGACUGUAACUGACGUUGAGGCUCGAAAGCGGGGGGAGCAAACAGGAUUAGAUACCCUGGUAGUCCACGCUGUAAACGAUGAUUACUAGGUGUUGGGGACCAAAGGUCCUCGGUGCCGCCGCAAACGCAUUAAGUAAUCCACCUGGGGAGUACGUUCGCAAGAAUGAAACUCAAAGGAAUUGACGGGG
RNAcentral lists this ribosomal RNA (396 nucleotides) under uncultured bacterium. Its description in RNAcentral is "partial 16S ribosomal RNA". It matches the Rfam family "Bacterial small subunit ribosomal RNA", at positions 523 to 918 of the family's 1533-position model. The record is from RNAcentral.